CCUACGGGAGGCAGCAGUGAGGAAUAUUGGUCAAUGGGCGCGAGCCUGAACCAGCCAAGUAGCGUGAAGGAUGACUGCCCUACGGGUUGUAAACUUCUUUUAUAAAGGAAUAAAGUGAGGCACGUGUGCCUUUUUGUAUGUACUUUAUGAAUAAGGAUCGGCUAACUCCGUGCCAGCAGCCGCGGUAAUACGGAGGAUCCGAGCGUUAUCCGGAUUUAUUGGGUUUAAAGGGAGCGUAGAUGGGUUUUUAAGUCAGUUGUGAAAGUUUGCGGCUCAACCGUAAAAGUGCAUUUGAUACUGGCAGCCUUGAGUACAGUUGAGGUAAGCGGAAUUCGUGGUGUAGCGGUGAAAUGCUUAGAUAUCACGAAGAACUCCGAUGGCGAAGGCAGCCGACUAAUCUGCCACUGACAUUGAGGCUCGAAAGUGUGGGUAUCAAACAGGAUUAGAUACCCUUGUAGUC
RNAcentral lists this ribosomal RNA (460 nucleotides) under uncultured bacterium. Its description in RNAcentral is "partial 16S ribosomal RNA". It matches the Rfam family "Bacterial small subunit ribosomal RNA", at positions 338 to 795 of the family's 1533-position model. The record is from RNAcentral.